This 2793-nucleotide long non-coding RNA is filed under the name Equus caballus (horse). RNAcentral describes it as "lncRNA (ENSECAG00000055490.1)". The record is from RNAcentral. Lineage: Eukaryota; Metazoa; Chordata; Mammalia; Perissodactyla; Equidae.
CUCACACUAGGGAAUCUCAAAUUUCUCAAAUAUGCCUUGCUUUAAACAUCUAUUUUUAAGCAAAUACAAACAGACUUCCCAGUUAUUUCAAAGGAUGCUCACCUAGGAUAGAUAAUGGCAGAAUUCUUCUCUUCAGGAAAUCCAUGUUAGAAUCUUGGCUCUCUCUACCUAGAGCAUCCAGGAAAGGAUGUACCUUCAAGAACUCACUCAGUUUGGCCAUGGAAAUAAGUUUUGACCUAAAUGUGUAAGCAGCAGUGGUAGGCCCAACAUCCAGGAAGUUUCCUUCAAAAAAGCAAGUCCUUUUCUUCUUGCUGAGUGGAAUGAAGACAGAGUUGGAAAGCCAUUUUGGACCAUUAAAUGAACUUGGGAAUGUAGGUCACAUAUGAAGGAAUAAUGAGAUAGAAAGAGCAAGAGUCUUUGAUACGAUGGAGCAUCAAACCUGCCCUGGAUCUCUCCGAACUUUUACAUCUAUUGUGUUUGAGCCAGUUUCAUUUUUGAUUAUCUGUUACUUGCAGCUGAACCUGAUCUUAACCCUUACAUGUCUUUAACAAAGCAGAAAAUUUUAAUUUUAAUGAAGUCAACCUCAUCAAUUCUUCGUUUCAUGGAUUGGAUCUUUGGUGUCAUGUCUAAAAUGUCGUCACCAAACCCAAGGACUGGAGGCCAGCCUAAGGAGUUGUUCCAAACUGAAAGAUGAAGAAUUGUAGCAGCCUUGACUACAUGACUGCCAGAACAGGAGGAAAAUACUCCUCUAUGUCUUACCUCUCUUGGACAGAAAAUGGAAGAAGCAACUGUGUAAAAGGAUCAUUUAUGGGGAGAAGGCAAUGAAUGUGUAUAUGGGAGAAAAGCAUGGACUUGGAGGAGCUGGAGUGGUGAAGGAUGAAGAGACGGCAAUGCAUGGGUUUAGAGGAGCCUCCCAGCAGGACCAUCCCUGCGCUCUCUCUAACCUUGCAUAGGAAAAAUGAGGAGCAUGACUGGGUCUGUGGAAGCAGGGUAAGACGUUGCUUGCAUGUCUCCCUGGGAUCUGAGUUUGACCUCUUCUGGAGAGAGGAGUAUUUCAUGAGGAUUUCAUCACUGCCCACCUUAGCUAAAUUUCAAGUCAGCGAGCAUUAUGGAAGUAGUGGGAGGGAAAGAAGGAAGAAACCUGUCACACCAGAGAUUUGGCUUCUUGGAUGUGUUAGCUGGCACCCACAGAUCCACUGUGAAGGAGCUAAACUCAUCAUUAGCCUAAUCUAUGACAUGUGGUAUUCUGCUUAAAAUAAACUUGUUUUCAUGUCUCUACAUUUCAAUUUUCUUCUCUAUUAGGUUUCUAUGGUAUCUUAUUGUAUUCACUCUUUGUAUUACAAAGUCUUUUGUGGAGAAAAAUUAAAAGGCUGUGAAUAUUGUUAACAAAAGGGAAAACGAUGAAGUAUGAGAUCUCACGUUUAUUGAGCACUUGCCACGUGUAAGGUAUUUUAGUUUAUUUUUUUUUUGCUGAGGAGGAUUAGCCCUGAGCUAACCUCUGUUGCCAAUCUUCCUCCACUUUGUAUGUGGGAUGCCUCCACAGCAUGGCUGAUGAGUGGAGUAGGUCUGUGUCCAAGAUCCAAACCCCUGAACCCAGGCCACCGCACACGGAACUUUAACCAGCCACAGGGCUGGCCCCCACAUGUGAGGUAUUUUCCUAACUGCUUCACAGUAUUCUAGCGUUGACUAGUUACAACAGCCUUACAAGGUGGGCAGUAUUAUCAUUCCCAUUUGACAGAUGUGGAAACAGAAGUGCAGAGAAGUUAAGUAAUGUGUGCAGGGUUGUGGAGUGAGGAGAAGCAUAGGGUCUGAACUUCUUAACGAGUUCUGUUAACAUUACUAUCCUGAUUCAUUAACAUGUCCUCUCCAACAAAUUCAAAGAUGCUCCCAGAGCAGGUACUUGGGUUUAUUACUAGUACAUAGUGAGAACUGACCUUAGUCAAUAACUCAGCCACAUUCUCUAAUUGCAUUUUUUUUUUUAAACAUGAGCCACAUAUUUCUAUUCUUCCAAAGUGGUAUUUUAUUUUUUUAUUAUUUUUUUAAUUGCAGUAACAUUGGAUUAUAACAAUAUAUAGCUUUCAGAUGUACAUCAUGAAAGUGGUGUUUUAAAAUACCACUUAAAUAUAGUUAACUGUGCUUGUUGCAUUUAAAUUAUAGCACGAUUCUUUCCUGGGAAUAUAAAUUCAGAAAUACGAUGUGAGGAUGACAGAAGUCUCAGGCUAGAAUGCAAUAACAUGAUUAAGCUCUGUUUAAAUACUUGUUUCACUGUUAGGUUUGAGUGUCCAGUUUACACUACAUGCAUAUGCAAGAUGGCUGCAUCUUAGGCAAUCUUCUCUUUGUCCAUACUGGAACACAUAAACUUUUAAGGAUGUAGAUGAAAUGGUCAAGGAUUUUUUUUUUCUGCUUUCAUGUUUUAUGAAGCAAUUCAAAAUUCUUUGAUGUAGAAAAUCCAAAAUCCAUGAACUAAAUUGUUUACUUGAACCUGUGGUAAGUAUUUUUGUCAUCCCAAGAACCACUUCAAGUUUUCUUACAUAUUCUCAGAGGACACAUUCUUCAUUUCAAUCUGUGUUGUUUGAGAUAUCACUAGAAAUUUUAUCCUAAGCCAGGAAUACUUUCAAAAAUCAUUUGCAUAACACUAGCACAAUAAUUUCAGUCGUUGUGUAAAUCUGGACUUUUUACCUUCACCCACUUGACCAUAUUGCAUUUUAAAAUAAUACUUGAAAGGCUUGUUUACAGUGAUAAACAAAACCUACCACUGUGAAAUAUACCAUAGGAAUAACCACUACAUGACAC